Molecule: ribosomal RNA, 445 nt
Filed under: uncultured bacterium
Lineage: Bacteria
Description: partial 16S ribosomal RNA
Rfam family: Bacterial small subunit ribosomal RNA
Source: RNAcentral
GUGAGGAAUAUUGGUCAAUGGGCGAGAGCCUGAACCAGCCAAGUCGCGUGAAGGAAGAAGGAUCUAUGGUUCGUAAACUUCUUUUGCAGGGGAAUAAAGUGCAGGACGUGUCCUGUUUUGUAUGUACCCUGAGAAUAAGGAUCGGCUAACUCCGUGCCAGCAGCCGCGGUAAUACGGAGGAUCCGAGCGUUAUCCGGAUUUAUUGGGUUUAAAGGGUGCGUAGGUGGUUUGAUAAGUCAGCGGUGAAAGUUUGCAGCUUAACUGUAAAAUUGCCGUUGAAACUGUCGGUCUUGAGUGCAAAUGAGGUAGGCGGAAUGCGUGGUGUAGCGGUGAAAUGCAUAGAUAUCACGCAGAACUCCGAUUGCGAAGGCAGCUUACUAAGCUACAACUGACACUGAAGCACGAAAGCGUGGGGAUCAAACAGGAUUAGAUACCCUUGUAGUCC